RNAcentral lists this long non-coding RNA (3542 nucleotides) under Mus musculus (house mouse). Its description in RNAcentral is "predicted gene 20544". The record is from RNAcentral. Lineage: Eukaryota; Metazoa; Chordata; Mammalia; Rodentia; Muridae.
GUUUCAAAGACAUUUACACCGGCCAGGACGGAGGCCCUGGGAAGUGUGCGCUAGAGGGAACAGCCGGGCGGCCGAGGGCGGAGAGGCGGCGCGAAUGUGACCUCAGCGGCCGCCGCGCUCCCUCCCGCCCUCUCCCGCUCCGGGCUCGGGUUUCUAGGACUGCCUGGAGAAGUGUGUCUUGUGCACAGCUCUGGAAUGCAUUUGGCAGGCUGACGAGCAGCGAGGGGCAGCAUCCUGGAGGGAGGAGGGGUGCAGCUCGCCCGCGCGCCGCCGGCAGGUUUCCUCCCGGCCUGGAAGACCUCCGGCACCCGCCACUCGGCCUCCCGGCGCGCUAACCUUGCCCAGCCAGCAGACCUGCUUAGAGCAUCCAAUCGCAUGCGGGGCCUGCUUAGGGUCAGAGAGUUUAUUCCUUCACCAUAGGUUCCAGAGAAAGCUAUCCCCAGAUGCAAGUGAUUGCUAGGAAGUAGAAAAGGGAGCCCUACGUUGUGGAAGGAAGACAACAGUAUAGGACCAUCAGCAGGACCGGACAGAGAGGGGCACGUAAGCAGUAAUUACUGGAUGGCAUAGUAAUUCUACUAAAAAUUAAAAUGCCACUUAUUGGAAUGGUGUGUGAACACUCUAAAGCAACCCGGGAAGAAGACAGCAGUCAAGAAGACCAAGGAAGGAAAUGGAGGAGGGAUGACCCCACCAUUACAGGCAGGGAAGGACUGACCAAAGAGACAGAAAUGUAGUCUAGGAAAUGUGUCAUCUUAGAAAGGAACGGGAAGGGGCUGGAGAGGUGGCUCAGAAGUAAAGAGCAGUGGAUGCUCUUUCAGGGGACCUGAGUUGGCCUCCUAAUGUCUUCAGGUACCUCCUAACUGCAUGUAACUCCAGCUCCGGGAGAUUCUGGAUUCUUCUGGUCUCCACGGCACUGCGUUCACGCGCACGCGCGCGCGCACACACACACACACACACACACACACACAAAUUAAUCUUAGAAAAGCAUAGGAAGCCUGAUUUUUUGUUUGUUUGUUUGUUUUGGGGUUUUUUUUUUGUUUGUUUUGUUUUGUUUUUGAGACAGGGUUUCUCUGUAUAGCCCUGGCUGUCCUGGAACUUGUAGACCAGGCUGGCCUUGAACUCAGAAAUCCGCCUGCCUCUGACUCCCGAGUGCUGAGAUUAAAGGUGUGCACCACCACACCCGACAAGGAAGCCUGUUUUAAGAAGUGAUUCCAUGGAGGAGUUCUGCGGCGGCUCAGGGCUUGACUAAACAGUGGACCUCAGACAAGAGAGGCUAAACCAGGCUGCAGGUGACAGGAAGAAUUGAAUAAACUGAAAGCAAAGGGCAGCCUUCUAAUUACGCUUCGUGGCUAUGUGGACAACCUGGAGAAGUCUGGAAACAAGCCAGAAGCCCGAAGCCAGCAGUAGAGCUCUGACUGGCUUGUAUGCCUAGAAAGGAAGGGCUCUUCUUUCGCCUCACGGGCACAAAUGGGACCCACGAGCGCCGAUUUCAGACUAUUCUGAUCCCUUCAAAAAGAAAGUUAGGAGUCCAGGCUACUUCACUUUGGUGAUAGUAAUCAAACCCUAAUCACGGUGCAGCCACAAGUCACAGAGACCGAAAUAGCAGACUUAUGACAGACAAGGAUGGAGACAGCUAAGGAACUGGCUAUUAAUCACCAGUCCCUCUGCUCACAGCCCAUUGGACCCGAGGGUGAAGGAUGAGGAGGAUGGAAGAAAAUGGGAGUGGCGCUUGCUGCAAAGGGUCUCGAAGGGUCUCAGCACCUGCGAACUGGCUCCAAUCCAAACUCCACUAUUCAUGGUCAAGUUCACAUAGGGCUUGGGGUUCUAACAAGAUGUGACUAAACUUACGUUUUCUAUCUUAUUGAUUGUUGUUGAUGCACGUCUGGUGGUACAUGCUUGAAGAACACAGACACCCUGAGAAGAAAGACAUAGCUCCCCAGAUUCCAGCACGCACUUCUCUGUGAGCUACCACUGUAGCUGAAGAUACAGGGCUCAGGAGGAACACUUGGCCUUCGCUCUGAACUUCAGGCCCACGUAACCAUCAGCCGACAUGACACUGCAAAGGCACCUUAGCUCUGCUGUCCCAGAUGGCCAAGCCAACCUUAUUCCAGAAGCUACUUCUCCUGAUGUAAGAACCAGACACAAAGGACAACCUCUGCCUCACCCUCCUUCACACAACACUGAGUCUGUCAUCUUUGAAGCAUUUCUCAAGCCAUGUUUAUUCCCCUGGCCUACGUGGAACACAGCCAGGGUACGGAACACAACCUCAGCACCGGUCUGCUUUCCUCUCCCCAUUUCUGGUCUUUCUCAGAUGCCCAGAGCUCCUCUGUCCCAAUGACUGCUUAUCAAAGAUCUCACUGUGUCCCCACCCAAGGGGUCUUUGGCCACCCUGUGAAGUCCUAGUGGCCUGGAGUUUGCCCCCUUUCCCAGACACCUUAGGGUUCCUGCUGCAGCUCCAGAACUGGGGGAGCAGGGUUGGGGGUGAGUGUGUGUGUGUGUGUGUGUGUGUGUGUGUGUGUGUGUGUUGACUCACCCUGCAGUAUUCUCUCCAUCUGCACAGGUCCCCAGUCUCUGAGACUGAAUCACCCCUCUUUCACUAUGCCUCUGCACAGCUGCCCUUGUGCUCCCUCUCCUUGCCCCGCCUCUUUUUAAGACAGUAUUAUGCAGCCCUGGCUGUCCUGGAACUUAUGUAAACCAGCCUGGCCUUGAACUUGCAGAGAUCCACCUGCCUUUGCCUCUGCCCCUGCCCCUGCCCCUGCCCCUGCCCCUGCCCCUGCCCCUGCCUUUCUGCCUCUGCCUCUGCCUCUCUGCCUUUCUGCCUCUGCCUCUCUGCCUCUGCCUCUCUGCCUCUGCCUCUCAAGUGUCAGGGAUUAAUGCCUGCCACCUCCCCAGUCCCACCCCUCUCCAUCUACCAUGUGGGUUCCACGGGGCAAACCCAAGUCAUCAGGCUUGUUGGCCAGUGCCUUUAUCCACUGAGCCAAGCCGCUUGGUGUGUCUUUGAUGGUGAUUAUUUACAGGAGCUAUUCAGCAAGGUUAAAUGCUGGCAACCCAAUGAGGGGGUCUCUUGAUCCAAAACUGAGAAGUUGAGGCACUAUUUCAGAAUGACCAAAGACAGUAGAAGAAUCUAGAUAUGUCGAUGAUGAGAACAAUGAUAACUCCAAAAGCUGAGGGAAAUUAACUCAAAAUCUUCCAGCUUCCUUUUCCUUACCUAGUUUGGCGGACUCCAACUCUUGGGAUAGCUUUUUUUCUGGCCCCAAACUCACCUGAUUCGUCUGUCCACUGCCACACUGAAGAAUGAACAGCUGUCUCAGAGAGCUUGGCUCCAGAGCUCUGCAAAAAGAGGACACCUUGCCUUGAGCUGUGUUUCCAGAAUGUAUUGCAGCCCCCAGAGUCAUGUACUGUGACCAGGUGAGGACAUGCAUCUUCUGUUCUCCUGCACCCAGGGCCCCAGCAACCAAGGAUCUGGGGACAUGGCGGGUGUUUGGCAGGUUCGCACUCUGAAAAUAUUUGAUGAGACUCAGUAUAUGCUAAAUAAACACUGGAUC